This 253-nucleotide ribosomal RNA is filed under the name uncultured bacterium. RNAcentral describes it as "partial 16S ribosomal RNA". It matches the Rfam family "Bacterial small subunit ribosomal RNA", at positions 524 to 776 of the family's 1533-position model. The record is from RNAcentral.
UACGUAGGGGGCGAGCGUUGUCCGAAUUUACUGGGCGUAAAGAGCGCGUAGGCGGGCUCUUAAGUGAGAGGUGAAAUUUUCGGGCUCAACCCGAAGCGUGCCUUUCAUACUGGGAGCCUUGAGUGUGGGAGAGGCGAGUGGAAUUUCUGGUGUAGCGGUGAAAUGCGUAGAUAUCAGAAGGAACACCCAUGGCGAAGGCAGCUCGCUGGCCUACAACUGACGCUGAGGCGCGAAAGCGUGGGGAGCAAACAGG